CUUAUAAAAAAUCUCAUAGAAAUUCAUCCCCUCCUUUAUUUGUUUCUUUUCCUUUUUGACUGCUCCGGGCAGCAUGUGAGAUCUUAGGUCCCAGACCAGGGAUUGAACCCAUGCCCCCUGUUGUAGAAGGGAGGAAUCUUAACCAGUGAACCACCAUUGGAGUCUCUUGUUUGAGCUGUUUUUCUGAGAAUAAAUUUGAAGGCUUUUAAAUUUCUUUCUUGGAACCUGUGCUCAGCCAAAUCUCUGGGGUCUGGCUCGUGCCUCUGGCUCACCUAUUCCUGCAGCCAUGUCUUUCCAGCAGCAGCAGUGCCUGCCCCAGAUGACAAGCAGCCCUGUCAGCCACCCCCUGUCAAAUGUCAAGAGGCGUGUGCACCUAAAACCAAGGAUCCAUGUGCUCCCCAGGCCAAGAAGCAAUGCCCAGCCAAGGACACAGCAAUCCCAGCCCAGCAGAAGUGUCCUGCAACCAGCAAGCCCCCUAGAGUAAAUAGAAGUAAGAAUGGACGGAGAGAUACCUGCCCGCCAACCAGGCUACCAGAUGCAGCCUUCUCUUUCUCCUGCUCCUUUUCUGAUCCUCAGCUCCGGGAUUUGCCCUCCUCUCCCAUCUUCUCCUACUCAGGGUCCAAGGAAACAUUGUCAGGAUUUCUUCCCAUGGAACUCCUUGUCUCAUACAUCCCCUUGCUCCCAGUAUAUUCUUCUGUUCCCAACUCUGACUCUCUCCUAGAUGAACAUGAGUGAGGUCCCACCUUCUCCAGCUUCCAGUUUGGCCACAGCUGUGGCCCCAUCCAUGUCCUAAAGCAAGAAAUAUAUCUGGGCUGAUUCUAGGGCUUCCACCUUGACUCACGGGGACACCAGAGGCUGAUGCAUAGCUUCUAUAUCAUUCCCUUUCCCAAUUCCCCAUCCGUGAGCUUCCCUCCUCUUUCUUCCACUAAUAAAUCUGUGCUUCAUAUUAAAAAGAAUUAUCUCUCCUAGCAAUAUUUUGUAGUUCAUUUUUAUUUCAGAUCUUACCCCUAUACUUUGUUAAAUAUACUUAUUCUAUGGUUUUAUAUUUAAAAUUUUAAUUUUCAAGUUUUUGAUUAAUAUACAGAAACAUGAUUGUUUUGUAUAUACUUUAUAAUUUUGAACUUCUUUAAAUUCAAUUCACAU
This 1143-nucleotide long non-coding RNA is filed under the name Capra hircus (goat). RNAcentral's name for it is "lncRNA (ENSCHIG00000000846.1)". The record is from RNAcentral. Lineage: Eukaryota; Metazoa; Chordata; Mammalia; Artiodactyla; Bovidae.